RNAcentral lists this ribosomal RNA (401 nucleotides) under uncultured bacterium. RNAcentral's name for it is "bacterial SSU rRNA". It matches the Rfam family "Bacterial small subunit ribosomal RNA", at positions 29 to 418 of the family's 1533-position model. The record is from RNAcentral.
AGCGAACGCUGGCGGUAUGCUUAACACAUGCAAGUCGAGCGCGAAAGUGACUUCGGUCAUAAGUAGAGCGGCGGACGGGUGAGUAACACGUGGAUAAUCUGCCUUUAGGACUGGGAUAACCCUGGGAAACUAGGGCUAAUACCGGAUAAGACCACAGGUUCCAUGGAACCAGGGGUAAAAGGCGGCCUUCGGGCUGUCGCCGAAAGAUGAGUCCGCGUCCCAUCAGGUAGUUGGUGAGGUAACGGCUCACCAAGCCGAAGACGGGUAGCCGACCUUAGCGGGUGAUCGGCCACACGGGGGACUGAGACACGGCCCCGACUCCUACGGGAGGCAGCAGUGGGGAAUCUUGGGCAAUGGGCGCAAGCCUGACCCAGCAAUACCGCGUGAGGGAUGAAGGCCUU